UAACACGUAGGUAAUGUAUCUUUGGGUGGGGAAUAACCAUCGGAAACGAUGGCUAAUACCGCAUAAUGCAGCGGCAUCGCAAGAUGACAGUUGUUAAAGAUUUAUCGCCUAAAGAGCAGCCUGCGGCAGAUUAGCUAGUUGGUAAGGUAACGGCUUACCAAGGCUACGAUCUGUAUCCGACCUGAGAGGGUGGUCGGACACACUGACACUGAAUAACGGGUCAG
Molecule: ribosomal RNA, 224 nt
Filed under: uncultured bacterium
Lineage: Bacteria
Description: partial 16S ribosomal RNA
Rfam family: Bacterial small subunit ribosomal RNA
Source: RNAcentral